GGCUUUAUAGUCACACUAAUGAUAUUAGACUGCAAUUCUAAAGGAGUAAAUUAAUUACUAAGGCUU
RNAcentral lists this transfer RNA (66 nucleotides) under Tipula fascipennis. RNAcentral describes it as "tRNA-Cys". The record is from RNAcentral. Lineage: Eukaryota; Metazoa; Arthropoda; Insecta; Diptera; Tipulidae.